Molecule: ribosomal RNA, 253 nt
Filed under: uncultured bacterium
Lineage: Bacteria
Description: partial 16S ribosomal RNA
Rfam family: Bacterial small subunit ribosomal RNA
Source: RNAcentral
UACAUGGGGUGCAACCGUUGCUCGGAAUUAUUGGGCGUAAAGCGCGCGUAGGCGGUUACUUAAGUCGGAUGUGAAAGCCCUCGGCUUAACUGAGGAAGUGCACCCGAAACUGAGUAGCUAGAGUACGAAAGAGGGUCGCGGAAUUCCCGGUGUAGAGGUGAAAUUCGUAGAUAUGGGGAGGAACACCGGUGGCGAAGGCGGCCAUCUGGACGGAUACUGACGCUGAGACGCGAAAGCGUGGGUAGCAAACAGG